UACGUAGGGUGCGAGCGUUUAAUCGGAAUUACUGGGCGUAAAGCGUGCGCAGGCGGUUUUGUAAGUCAGAUGUGAAAUCCCCGGGCUCAACCUGGGAACUGCGUUUGAAACUACAAGGCUAGAGUGUAGCAGAGGGGGGUAGAAUUCCACGUGUAGCAGUGAAAUGCGUAGAGAUGUGGAGGAAUACCAAUGGCGAAGGCAGCCCCCUGGGUUAACACUGGACGCUCAUGCACGAAAGCGUGGGGAGCAAACAGG
This 255-nucleotide ribosomal RNA is filed under the name uncultured bacterium. RNAcentral's name for it is "partial 16S ribosomal RNA". It matches the Rfam family "Bacterial small subunit ribosomal RNA", at positions 524 to 776 of the family's 1533-position model. The record is from RNAcentral.